This 23-nucleotide non-coding RNA is filed under the name Drosophila melanogaster (fruit fly). RNAcentral also lists the same sequence under 4 other names. The record is from RNAcentral. Lineage: Eukaryota; Metazoa; Arthropoda; Insecta; Diptera; Drosophilidae.
UGAACCUGCGGAAGGAUCAUUAA